Molecule: non-coding RNA, 442 nt
Organism: Sorex fumeus (smoky shrew)
Lineage: Eukaryota; Metazoa; Chordata; Mammalia; Eulipotyphla; Soricidae
Source: the annotation of a RefSeq genome assembly
UAGCCAGCAGCUCUCUCCCUGAGGGGAUAAGAGGGGACCAGGAGGAGUUCAGCCUCAGGUGCCAGAAUCCCAGCCCCUCACCAUGGCCUGGACCACGCUCCUCCUGGGCCUCCUGGCUCACUGCACAGGUUCUGUAUCUUCCUAUGAGCUGAAUCAGCCGCCUUCAUUUUCUGUGAACCUGGGAGGGGAGGCCAAGAUGACCUGUAGGGGAAACAACAUUGGAAGAAAAGCUGUUCAAUGGUUUCAGCAGAAGCCAGGCCAGGCCCCUGUGCUGGUCAUAUACAGGGAUUACAACCGGCCCUCAGGGAUCCCUGACCGCUUCUCUGGCUCCAACUCUGGGGACACGGCCACGCUGACCAUUAGCAGUGUGCGCACUGAGGAUGAGGCCGACUAUUACUGUCAGGUGUGGGACAGCAACAAUGCUCACAGCGACACAGACUGA